UCCUGCUGCCGUGAGCUUCAAGCCCUCGACGCUGAACUUUUAGUCGACACCUCAAACAAAACUCGUGGCGUGCGCGCGCGCCGAAGGUUUCAAAGUCUGGGUGAAGGAGUAAAACUCCCAAAAACAAAUACGGAGAGUUGGGUGUAGAGAGGGGACUGGUAGGGAGAGGGUAGAGAGAAGGGCAGGGAGAGAAGGGCAGGGAGAGAAGGGCAGGGAGAGAGAGACAGAGAGAAGGGCAGGGAGGUGAAGAGGAGAUGAAACUACGACGGCAGCGGUGACGAGAAGAGUGAAGGGAGUCGGAGGGUCCUGCGUGCGCGCGGUCACCGACAGCCCCAAGGUCACGAGGUCACGAGGUCGCGAGGUCACGAGGUCGUGACCCCACGUCCGCUGGGGGUGGUGGGGGGGGGGGUUGAGGUUCUACCCCGGGACCGUUGCCGGGUGGAGUGGGGCCCCCCUGUGACCUCUCGCCCACCCCCCCGCGACCUCCCCCCCCCGUGACCUUUCACCUCCCACCCCCCCCGUGACCUCUCUACCUGCCGAGGCGCCCCCCCCCCGCCCGUCGCGAGGACUCCAUGAGCAGCCCGGCAGAGAGCGGCGCGCAGCCUGGCAGCCUCCAACAGUCGCGAGUAGCUUCUCGGAGCCCCCCGUCUCUCUGCGCCGCUGAGGAUGGCGCGUGGCAACUCGCGCGCGCGGUGACGCAGCGGCGGCCCCUGCUGGGACCCGCCCCCCACAGGAGGACCGCCGGCGUUGCCAUGGAGACGGAGCAUCGCCGUGGCAACGGCCACGUCUCCUGUCCGCAUCUGGGAACCUCCUGGGGCACCACGAGGUACGACGUUCCGGACGGCACCCCUCCGCAGAGCAACGGGGACGUGGCCAGGGCCAACCACGAACGGGGCUCCCGCUCAAACACCACCACCACCCCGACAACAACAACCAC
Lethenteron reissneri (Far Eastern brook lamprey) is the source of this 937-nucleotide long non-coding RNA. RefSeq lists it as uncharacterized. The record is from RefSeq and is a predicted model, not a curated record. NCBI's taxonomy places the organism in Eukaryota, Metazoa, Chordata, Hyperoartia, Petromyzontiformes, Petromyzontidae.